UUCCUCAAACACAGCAUGAGUCAGAAAAAAAGAGACUGCUGGAGAGAGGAGAGGGAGGUAGAAGGAGGGAGGGAAACCGAAAGGGAGGGAGGGAGAGAUUAUUUUACAUAAGCAGCCCUGGAAUUACUGAUUUCAGCCAUUCUUCAACUAAAUCGUAGCUUCUUUCAAGCUGGAGAGGAAAAGCAAUAAGUCCUAGAACUUACCUCAGUGAGUGCUGGAAACAGUUCUUGUGAAGAAAUACCCAUUUGCAAAGCAGUCCAAAUCCCCAGCCACACACAGAGUCUGGAGCUUGUCAAAAUCCCAAACAGGAAGCUUCUCUCUGGAUGUGCCCCCGCCCCCUCCCAUCUCAUCCCAAGAGGACUCUGGUGGAAGACACGCCUGCAAAGAGACAUUUUACUCCUGUCCCAGAGGGUUCCCUUAAGUGCAUCAUUAGAGUUUCAGGAAG
Molecule: long non-coding RNA, 445 nt
Organism: Bubalus bubalis (water buffalo)
Lineage: Eukaryota; Metazoa; Chordata; Mammalia; Artiodactyla; Bovidae
Exons: 3
Source: RefSeq, a predicted model, not a curated record